RNAcentral lists this transfer RNA (63 nucleotides) under Paratoxodera polyacantha. Its description in RNAcentral is "tRNA-Pro". The record is from RNAcentral. Lineage: Eukaryota; Metazoa; Arthropoda; Insecta; Mantodea; Toxoderidae.
AUAUAAUUUCAAAGGGUAGUUUAAUUAAAAUAUUAAUUUUGGGGAUUAGUGAUAAGUUUUUCU